UUUUUUUAUUUUAUGUAUGUAUGUAUGUAUGUAUGUAUUAUUUAUUAUUAUUAUUUUUUGAGAUGGAGUCUCACUCUGUCACCCAGGCUGGGGUGCACUGGUGCAAUCUCGGCUCACUGCAAGCUCCGCUUCCUGGGUUCAUGCCAUUCUCCUCCCUCGGCCUCCUGAGUAGCUGGGACUACAGGCACAUGCCACCACUCCUGGCUAAUUUUUAGAGACAGUGUCUCACCAUGUUAGCCAGGAUGGUCUCGAUCUCCUGACCUCAUGAUCCGCCAGCCUCAGCCUCCCAAAGUGCUGGGAUAACAGGUGUGAGUCACUAUGCCUGGCCUAGAAUUCUUACAGUUUGAGGUCUUAUAUUUAAAUCUUUAACCUACCUUCAGUUAAUUUUUGUAUAUGGUAAAAGGUAUGGGUCCAGUUUCAUUGUUUUCCAUAUGACUAGCCAGGUAUUCCAACACUAUUUAUUUCAUAAGGAGUCCUUUCCCCAUUGUUUGUUUUUGUCAACUAUGUCAAAGAUCAGAUGGCUGUAGGUGUGUGGCUUUAUUUCUAUCAGUUUCAUUGUUCUAUGUGCCUAUUUUUAUUCCAGUAACAUGCUGUUUGGGUUACUGUGGCUUUUAGCAUAGUUUGAAGUCAGGUAAUGUGAUGCCUCCAUUACCCCAGCUUUGCUUUGUUUUUGUUUUUGUUGUUUGUUGUUUGUUUGUUUUGCCUAGGAUUGCUUUGGCUUUUUGGUUCCAUAUGAAUCAGAAUAGUUUUUUCUAAGUCUGUGAAAAAUUACAUUGGUGGAUGAUAAGAAUAGCACUGAAUCUGUAAGUUACUUUAGGCAGUGUGGCUAUCUUAAUGACACUGGUCCUUCCAAUCCAUGAGCAUGGAAUGUUUUUUCAUUUGUGUGUGUCAUUUAUAAUUUCUUUCAACAGUAUUUUAUAGUUCUCCUUACGGAGAUCUUGCACCUCCUUGGUUAGAUGUAUCCCUAAGCAUAUUUAUAGCUAUUGUAAAUGGGAUUGUGUUCUUGAUUUGGCUCUCAGCCUGAAAGUUAUUGGUGUUUAAAAAUGCUACUGAUUUUUGUACAUUGAUUUUGUCUCCUAAAACUUUACUGUAGUUAUUUUCCAGUUUCAGGAGCCCUUUAGCGGAGUCUUUGGGGUUCUUUAAGUAUAGAGUCAUAUUGUCAGCAAAGAGAGUUUGACUUUUUCUUUGCCUAUUUAGAAGCCUUUUAUUUAUUUCUCUUGCUUGAUCACUCUGGAUAGGACUUCUAGUACUAUGUUGAAUAUGAAUGGUGAGAGUGGGCGUCCUUAUCUUGUUCCAGUUCUCAAGGGGAAUGCUUCCAGCUUUUGCCCAUCCAAUAUGAAGUGCACUGUGGGAUUUUCAUAAAUGCCUCUUAUUAUUUUGAGGUAUGUUCCUUUGAUGCCUGGUUUCUUGAGAGUUUUUAUCAUGAAAGAAUAUUGGAUUUUAUCAAAGGCUGUCUCUUUACCUAUUGAGAUGAUCAUAUGGUUUUGGUUUUUAAUUCUGUUUAUGUGGUAAAUCGUGUUUAAUGAUUUGUAUAUGUCGAACCAACCUUGCAUCCCAGCAAUAAAGCCUACCUGAUCAUGGUCAAUUAACUUUUUGGUGUGCAGUUGGAUUCAGUUUGCUAGUAUUUUGUAGAGGACUAUUGUGUCUAUGUUCAUCAGGAUAUAGGCCUGUAGUUUUCUCUAUUUGUUGCAUCUUUGCCAGAUUUUGUUACCAGGGUGAUGCUGGCUUAGUAGAAUGAGUUAGGAAGGAAUCUCUCCUCCUUGAUUUUUUUGGAAUAGUUUCAGUGUAAUUAGUACGCACUCUUCUUUGUACAUCUGGUAGAAUUUGUCUUGACUGUGGCUGGUCUGGGGCUUUUUGUUGGUUGGUAAGUGUUUUAUUACUGAUUCAAUUUCAGAACUUG
Molecule: long non-coding RNA, 1900 nt
Organism: Macaca fascicularis (crab-eating macaque)
Lineage: Eukaryota; Metazoa; Chordata; Mammalia; Primates; Cercopithecidae
Source: Ensembl